UAGCAAAAUGAGUGAGUAGGAGUACUCGUACUGAGUAGUGAGUAAACAGUGGAGUAGAAAUUAGUGAACGAAGUGUGAUUUCAUUGUCAACUGUAUGUUGUUUGUUGUAUAUGUGAGUUGGCAACUCGUGUGCGUGUGUGGCUCAUACCAAGCAGCAUUUCAAAUCAAGGCAUGCAGCUGCCAAGGAAAACCUGUAGGGCCAUCAGCUGCAUUAAAACCAGGCAUGAAAAAUGCAGAGCACCCAUUUAUAAAUGUGAUGUUGUACACAACAUAGACUGGAACUGUAAUGCUACUAGAAUUAAUUAGUAAAUCACAUGUUCAUUGAAUGUGGAAUAAGAAGAUUUUAAGGGAAUUGGAGAUAUGUGUAAAGGCUUUUCCAAAGCCUGAUGUGUUAAGUUUCUUAAUUGCAGCUGAGAUAUUAAUAACAUAUUGAAAUAUUCACUUGCUGUAAUUUUAUACUAUGGUCUUAUUAUUAUUGUGUUAUUGUUUAUAUUUUAUUUUUCCCUAUUGUAUUGAUGUCAUUUUGCUGUAGUUUUUCAUGCAAUACAUUAAUAAAUAAUU
This is a long non-coding RNA of Schistocerca cancellata (South American locust), 561 nucleotides long. RefSeq lists it as uncharacterized. Lineage: Eukaryota; Metazoa; Arthropoda; Insecta; Orthoptera; Acrididae. The transcript has 3 exons. The record is from RefSeq and is a predicted model, not a curated record.